GGUCUGCAGCCUUGAAAUUGCCCCCAGUUGAGUUGUACUCUGGGCAUAUCGGGUUUGCAAAGAGUAUAUAACUGAGGAAGCCGAGGCAGGAGUGCAAAAAAAGCAGCAGCAGCUCCAUGUGCAAUAUUCCUCUGACAUAUUUUGCACUGUUGCCGCGGAGAUGACGAUGGUCCUCGUAUCGUUAUCCGUCUGUCAGCGGUAAGAGUAAAGUUGCGACGUGAUAUUGGUCAGCAAAUAAAAGAAUUUCUGCUCCGUUUAAAAAAAAAA
This is a non-coding RNA of Protobothrops mucrosquamatus (brown spotted pit viper), 267 nucleotides long. Lineage: Eukaryota; Metazoa; Chordata; Lepidosauria; Squamata; Viperidae. The record is from RefSeq and is a predicted model, not a curated record.